This 253-nucleotide ribosomal RNA is filed under the name uncultured bacterium. Its description in RNAcentral is "partial 16S ribosomal RNA". It matches the Rfam family "Bacterial small subunit ribosomal RNA", at positions 524 to 776 of the family's 1533-position model. The record is from RNAcentral. RNAcentral also lists the same sequence under 1 other name.
UACGAAGGGUGCAAGCGUUGUUCGGAUUUAUUGGGCGUAAAGCGCACGUAGGUGGACUUAUAAGUCAGAUGUGAAAUCUCGGGGCUCAACCUCGAAACUGCGUCUGAAACUGCAAGUCUAGAAUCUUGGAGGGGGCAGGGGAAUUUCACAUGUAGGGGUAAAAUCCGUAGAUAUGUGAAGGAACACCAGAGGCGAAGGCGCCUGCCUGGACAAGUAUUGACACUGAGGUGCGAAAGCGUGGGGAUCAAACAGG